GUUUUAAUAGUUUAAGUAAAACAUUGGCCUUGUAAGUCAAAAAUAAGAAAAAUCUUUUAAAACU
This 64-nucleotide transfer RNA is filed under the name Bittacus pilicornis. RNAcentral's name for it is "tRNA-Thr". It matches the Rfam family "tRNA". From Rfam's summary of the family: Transfer RNA (tRNA) molecules are approximately 80 nucleotides in length. Their secondary structure includes four short double-helical elements and three loops (D, anti-codon, and T loops). The record is from RNAcentral. Lineage: Eukaryota; Metazoa; Arthropoda; Insecta; Mecoptera; Bittacidae.